Molecule: ribosomal RNA, 456 nt
Filed under: uncultured organism
Description: partial 16S ribosomal RNA
Rfam family: Bacterial small subunit ribosomal RNA
Source: RNAcentral
ACGUACACUCCUGCGGGAGGCAGCAGUGGGGAAUAUUGGACAAUGGGCGCAAGCCUGAUCCAGCCAUGCCGCGUGAGUGAUGAAGGCCCUAGGGUUGUAAAGCUCUUUCACCGGUGAAGAUAAUGACGGUAACCGGAGAAGAAGCCCCGGCUAACUUCGUGCCAGCAGCCGCGGUAAUACGAAGGGGGCUAGCGUUGUUCGGAUUUACUGGGCGUAAAGCGCACGUAGGCGGACUAUUAAGUCAGGGGUGAAAUCCCGGGGCUCAACCCCGGAACUGCCUUUGAUACUGGUAGUCUUGAGUUCGAGAGAGGUGAGUGGAAUUCCGAGUGCAGAGGUGAAAUUCGUAGAUAUUCGGAGGAACACCAGUGGCGAAGGCGGCUCACUGGCUCGAUACUGACGCUGAGGUGCGAAAGCGUGGGGAGCAAACAGGAUUAGAAACCCCUGUAGUCCCAUGAU